GAUGAACGCUGGCGGCGUGCUUAACACAUGCAAGUCGAACGAGAAGUGGAGACGGAAACCUUCGGGCGGAAGACUUUAUUUCGAGUGGCGGACGGGUGAGUAACGCGUGGGUAACCUGCCUCAUACAGGGGGAUAACAGUUGGAAACGACUGUUAAUACCGCAUAAGACCACAGCACCGCAUGGUGCGGGGGUAAAAACUCCGGUGGUAUGAGAUGGACCCGCGUUCGAUUAGCCAGUUGGCGGGGUAACGGCCCACCAAAGCGACGAUCGAUAGCCGAUCUGAGAGGAUGACCGGCCACAUUGGGACUGAGACACGGCCCAAACUCCUACGGGAGGCAGCAGUGGGGAAUAUUGCACAAUGGGGGAAACCCUGAUGCAGCGACGCCGCGUGAGUGAAGAAGUAUUUCGGUAUGUAAAGCUCUAUCAGCAGGGAAGAAAAUGACGGUACCGGAGUAAGAAGCCCCGGCUAACUACGU
RNAcentral lists this ribosomal RNA (477 nucleotides) under uncultured bacterium. Its description in RNAcentral is "partial 16S ribosomal RNA". It matches the Rfam family "Bacterial small subunit ribosomal RNA", at positions 28 to 506 of the family's 1533-position model. The record is from RNAcentral.